This 497-nucleotide ribosomal RNA is filed under the name uncultured bacterium. RNAcentral describes it as "partial 16S ribosomal RNA". It matches the Rfam family "Bacterial small subunit ribosomal RNA", at positions 28 to 507 of the family's 1533-position model. The record is from RNAcentral.
GAUGAACGCUGGCGGCGUGCCUAAUACAUGCAAGUCGAGCGAACAGACGAGGAGCUUGCUCCUCUGACGUUAGCGGCGGACGGGUGAGUAACACGUGGAUAACCUACCUAUACGACUGGGAUAACUUCGGGAAACCGGAGCUAAUACCGGAUAAUAUAUUGAACCGCAUGGUUCAAUAGUGAAAGACGGUUUUGCUGUCACUUAUAGAUGGAUCCGCGCCGCAUUAGCUAGUUGGUAAGGUAACGGCUUACCAAGGCAACGAUGCGUAGCCGACCUGAGAGGGUGGUCGGCCACACUGGAACUGAGACACGGUCCAGACUCCUACGGGAGGCAGCAGUAGGGAAUCUUCCGCAAUGGGCGAAAGCCUGACGGAGCAACGCCACGUGAGUGAUGAAGGUCUUCGGAUCGUAAAACUCUGUUAUGAGGGAAGAACAAAUGUGUAAGUAACUAUGCACGUCUUGACGGUAGCUAAGCAGAAAGCCACGGCUAACUACGUG